CGACGUAGCUCAGUUGGUAGAGCAGCGGUAUCGUAAACCGCAGGUCGGGGGUUCGAGUCCCUUCGUCGGC
RNAcentral lists this transfer RNA (70 nucleotides) under Gorillibacterium timonense. It matches the Rfam family "tRNA". Rfam says of the family: Transfer RNA (tRNA) molecules are approximately 80 nucleotides in length. Their secondary structure includes four short double-helical elements and three loops (D, anti-codon, and T loops). The record is from RNAcentral. Lineage: Bacteria; Bacillati; Bacillota; Bacilli; Caryophanales; Paenibacillaceae.